RNAcentral lists this ribosomal RNA (490 nucleotides) under uncultured bacterium. Its description in RNAcentral is "partial 16S ribosomal RNA". It matches the Rfam family "Bacterial small subunit ribosomal RNA", at positions 28 to 523 of the family's 1533-position model. The record is from RNAcentral.
GAUGAACGCUGGCGGCGUGCUUAACACAUGCAAGUCGAACGAAGCAUUUCCUUUUCUUCGGAAAAGGAAAUGACUGAGUGGCGGACGGGUGAGUAACGCGUGGGUAACCUGCCUCAUACAGGGGGAUAACAGCUGGAAACGGCUGCUAAUACCGCAUAAGCGCACAAUGCUGCAUGGCAUAGUGUGAAAAACUCUGGUAGUAUGAGAUGGACCCGCGUCUGAUUAGCUAGUUGGUAAGGUAAUGGCUUACCAAGGCGACGAUCAGUAGCCGACCUGGGAGGGUGACCGGCCACAUUGGGACUGAGACACGGCCCAAACUCCUACGGGAGGCAGCAGUGGGGAAUAUUGCACAAUGGGCGAAAGCCUGAUGCAGCGACGCCGCGUGAGCGAAGAAGUAUUUCGGUAUGUAAAGCUCUAUCAGCAGGGAAGAAAAAAAUGACGGUACCUGACUAAGAAGCACCGGCUAAAUACGUGCCAGCCGCCGCGGUAA